This 460-nucleotide ribosomal RNA is filed under the name uncultured bacterium. RNAcentral's name for it is "partial 16S ribosomal RNA". It matches the Rfam family "Bacterial small subunit ribosomal RNA", at positions 338 to 795 of the family's 1533-position model. The record is from RNAcentral.
CCUACGGGUGGCAGCAGUGAGGAAUAUUGGUCAAUGGACGAGAGUCUGAACCAGCCAAGUAGCGUGAAGGAUGACUGCCCUAUGGGUUGUAAACUUCUUUUAUAUGGGAAUAAAAUGUUCCACGUGUGGGAUUUUGUAUGUACCAUAUGAAUAAGGAUCGGCUAACUCCGUGCCAGCAGCCGCGGUAAUACGGAGGAUCCGAGCGUUAUCAGGAUUUAUUGGGGUUAAAGGGAGCGUAGGUGGAUUGUUAAGUCAGUUGUGAAAGUUUGCGGCUCAACCGUAAAAUUGCAGUUGAAACUGGCAGGCUUGAGGACAGUAGAGGUGGGUGGAAUUCGUGGUGUAGCGGUGAAAUGCUUAGAUAUCACGAAGAACUCCGAUUGCGAAGGCAGCUCACUGGACUGCAACUGACACUGAGGCUCGAAAGUGUGGGUAUCAAACAGGAUUAGAUACCCCUGUAGUC